CUGUAAAGCGCUUUGGGCCUUCGAAAGAAGGUAAAAAGUGCUAUAUAAGUAUACGCCAUUUACCAUUUAAUCACAAUGAGCAUAAAGAGCAAUUUGCUAUUUUUUCUUUUACUUGUGUUAGCUUACAAAAAUAGUUUAACAUCUGUCAUGCAAACUUACCUGACACUACUACUGAAAUAAAAUGUGUUCAUAUGCUGGAUUGGUUUAGUCUAGUUUUUAUAGAAAAUUUUAAUAUGUAAAUAAAAUGACUUUUUUAUUGGAGUAGAAACCUGCCUUAUUACAAAAACCCAUUUUGACUGUUGAAAAGUAAAAAAAAAAAUAGAAUUAAAGUUUUAAUUUUUCUCAAAGGGCAAGCAGGGUGGUUUAAGGAGUUCAAAGUGGUAAGCAGGCGUUGCUGAUUGGACGGUUGCUGCGUUUUGAAUCUCCCGCUCAUUUCCUGAUACGGAUUCAGUCAGUCGUCCUGGUCCGUCAACGCAAGGAGAUUCUGCACUUCUGUCGCACCAUUCAUCCAGGCCAUUUAUUGAUAUCAAGACACGCUGCCGAGGCCGACUCCAUCUGCCGAGAUUGACGUCACACACACAGAGCGAAAGCCGGUGACUCAGAGGAUGAGUCCUGUUAUUUCCAGUUUGGAAAAAAACGCAGGAUAAUAACCAAUAUUUAAUCAAAAAAAUCCUUUUGUGUGUGUGCCAAAGGUCACCUGCAGCUUCACUCAAGUUGUCGUGACAGACUCGCCGAUAUAGAUUUCAUGUCAGCAGUUGUUGCUGUGGUUGGAGUAAUUGGGGACUCUUGGACGAUGCAACCAGAAGAAUGAUGGGCUUCCUCAUGUCCAAUGAGUUGGCUCUGCAAUAUAACCUGUUUGGACGUCAUGGAGAGAAUAAAUUCUGCUAACUGCGUCUUUUUGAUGUCUUCUAUGGGGCAGUGAAGAAAAAAUGACAUCACCCAACCAGUCCCACUAAAGGAAGUGGAGAAGGGCCUCUCCAAAUGGUUUGUUGGAGCUCGUGACAGGGGAGGAAACCGAGCUAUAAGGACUCAAAGAGAGCUUGAAUAUCAAGCCGAUGGAGCUUGUUCUCAGGAACCGUCAAGGAUGCUAUGAGUAUUUUGUUUUACUGGAUUUAUUUAUUUUUUCGUCACAUAAUUGGCACACAUUAAGGUUGUUCAUAUUGUACUGUACCAAGUGAAGUAGUUCUUUAUUUUAUUAAGUAACUGUUGUAUGUUAGAUCCUGUGUGUUAUCUGUUAAACCUUUGGGUGACCUUGCCAUGGUCUUGUAUCUCGUUUUCACAAUGCAGGAUCAGGAUAAUUUAUUUUCUUUUAUUAAAUUGAAACAUUUUAAAAGCA
This is a non-coding RNA of Oryzias latipes (Japanese medaka), 1336 nucleotides long. The record is from RefSeq and is a predicted model, not a curated record. Lineage: Eukaryota; Metazoa; Chordata; Actinopteri; Beloniformes; Adrianichthyidae.